GAUGAACGCUAGCUACAGGCUUAACACAUGCAAGUCGAGGGGAAACGACAUCGAAAGCUUGCUUUUGAUGGGCGUCGACCGGCGCACGGGUGAGUAACGCGUACCCAACCUGCCCACCACUUGGGGAUAACCUUGCGAAAGUAAGACUAAUACCCAAUGAUAUCCCACGAAGGCAUCCGAAUGGGAUUAAAGAUUUAUCGGUGAUGGAUGGGGAUGCGUCUGAUUAGCUUGUUGGCGGGGUAACGGCCCACCAAGGCAACGAUCAGUAGGGGUUCUGAGAGGAAGGUCCCCCACAUUGGAACUGAGACACGGUCCAAACUCCUACGGGAGGCAGCAGUGAGGAAUAUUGGUCAAUGGGCGAGAGCCUGAACCAGCCAAGUAGCGUGCAGGACGACGGCCCUAUGGGUUGUAAACUGCUUUUAUAAGGGAAUAAAGUGAGUCUCGUGAGACUUUUUGCAUGUACCUUAUGAAUAAGGACCGGCUAAUUCCGUG
This 492-nucleotide ribosomal RNA is filed under the name uncultured bacterium. RNAcentral's name for it is "bacterial SSU rRNA". It matches the Rfam family "Bacterial small subunit ribosomal RNA", at positions 28 to 507 of the family's 1533-position model. The record is from RNAcentral.